CCUACGUGAGGCAGCAGUGGGGAAUAUUGCACAAUGGGGGAAACCCUGAUGCAGCGACGCCGCGUGAGUGCAGAAGUAAUUCGUUAUGUAAAGCUCUAUCAGCAGGGAAGAAAAUGACGGUACCUGAGUAAGAAGCACCGGCUAACUACGUGCCAGCAGCCGCGGUAAUACGUAGGGGGCAAGCGUUAUCCGGAUUUACUGGGUGUAAAGGGAGCGUAGACGGCAGUGCAAGUCUGGAGUGAAAGGCGGGGGCUCAACCCCCGGACUGCUCUGGAAACUGUACGGCUGGAGUGCAGGAGAGGUAAGUGGAAUUCCUAGUGUAGCGGUGAAAUGCGUAGAUAUUAGGAGGAACACCAGUGGCGAAGGCGGCUUACUGGACUGUAACUGACGUUGAGGCUCGAAAGCGUGGGGAGCAAACAGGAUUAGAUACCCUGGUAGUC
This 440-nucleotide ribosomal RNA is filed under the name uncultured bacterium. Its description in RNAcentral is "partial 16S ribosomal RNA". It matches the Rfam family "Bacterial small subunit ribosomal RNA", at positions 338 to 795 of the family's 1533-position model. The record is from RNAcentral.